This 1245-nucleotide ribosomal RNA is filed under the name Campylobacter jejuni. Its description in RNAcentral is "bacterial LSU rRNA". It matches the Rfam family "Bacterial large subunit ribosomal RNA", at positions 1665 to 2908 of the family's 2925-position model. Lineage: Bacteria; Pseudomonadati; Campylobacterota; Epsilonproteobacteria; Campylobacterales; Campylobacteraceae. The record is from RNAcentral.
GGGUGGGAUGAGUAUUCUAAGGCGCGUGGAAGAACUCUCUUUAAGGAACUCUGCAAAAUAGCACCGUAUCUUCGGUAUAAGGUGUGGUUAGCUUUGUAUUAGGAUUUACUCCGAAAGCAAGGAAACUUACAACAAAGAGUCCCUCCCGACUGUUUACCAAAAACACAGCACUCUGCUAACUCGUAAGAGGAUGUAUAGGGUGUGACGCCUGCCCGGUGCUCGAAGGUUAAUUGAUGGGGUUAGCAUUAGCGAAGCUCUUGAUCGAAGCCCGAGUAAACGGCGGCCGUAACUAUAACGGUCCUAAGGUAGCGAAAUUCCUUGUCGGUUAAAUACCGACCUGCAUGAAUGGCGUAACGAGAUGGGAGCUGUCUCAAAGAGGGAUCCAGUGAAAUUGUAGUGGAGGUGAAAAUUCCUCCUACCCGCGGCAAGACGGAAAGACCCCGUGGACCUUUACUACAGCUUGACACUGCUACUUGGAUAAGAAUGUGCAGGAUAGGUGGGAGGCUUUGAGUAUAUGACGCCAGUUGUAUAUGAGCCAUUGUUGAGAUACCACUCUUUCUUAUUUGGGUAGCUAACCAGCUUGAGUUAUCCUCAAGUGGGACAAUGUCUGGUGGGUAGUUUGACUGGGGCGGUCGCCUCCCAAAUAAUAACGGAGGCUUACAAAGGUUGGCUCAGAACGGUUGGAAAUCGUUCGUAGAGUAUAAAGGUAUAAGCCAGCUUAACUGCAAGACAUACAAGUCAAGCAGAGACGAAAGUCGGUCUUAGUGAUCCGGUGGUUCUGUGUGGAAGGGCCAUCGCUCAAAGGAUAAAAGGUACCCCGGGGAUAACAGGCUGAUCUCCCCCAAGAGCUCACAUCGACGGGGAGGUUUGGCACCUCGAUGUCGGCUCAUCGCAUCCUGGGGCUGGAGCAGGUCCCAAGGGUAUGGCUGUUCGCCAUUUAAAGCGGUACGCGAGCUGGGUUCAGAACGUCGUGAGACAGUUCGGUCCCUAUCUGCCGUGGGCGUAAGAAGAUUGAAGAGAUUUGACCCUAGUACGAGAGGACCGGGUUGAACAAACCACUGGUGUAGCUGUUGUUCUGCCAAGAGCAUCGCAGCGUAGCUAAGUUUGGAAAGGAUAACCGCUGAAAGCAUCUAAGCGUGAAGCCAACUCUAAGAUGAAUCUUCUCUAAGCUCUCUAGAAGACUACUAGUUUGAUAGGCUGGGUGUGUAAUGGAUGAAAGUCCUUUAGCUGACCAGUACUAAUAGA